UGAACGCUGGCGGCGUGCUUAGCACAUGCAAGUCGAACGAACCUUCGGGUUAGUGGCGGACGGGUGAGUAACGCGUGGGAAUCUGCCCUCAGGAGGGGGAUAACGGCUGGAAACGGCCGCUAAUACCCCAUAUGCCGAGAGGUGAAAUGAAUUUCGCCUGAGGAUGAGCCCGCGUCUGAUUAGCUAGUUGGUGAGGUAAAGGCCCACCAAGGCGACGAUCAGUAGCUGGUCUGAGAGGAUGAUCAGCCACACUGGGACUGAGACACGGCCCAGACUCCUACGGGAGGCAGCAGUGGGGAAUUUUCCGCAAUGGGCGGAAGCCUGACGGAGCAACGCCGCGUGAGGGAUGAAGGCCUCUGGGCUGUAAACCUCUUUUCUCAAGGAAGAAGAUCUGACGGUACUUGAGGAAUAAGCCACGGCUAAUUCCGUGCCAGCAG
This 437-nucleotide ribosomal RNA is filed under the name uncultured Synechococcus sp. Its description in RNAcentral is "bacterial SSU rRNA". It matches the Rfam family "Bacterial small subunit ribosomal RNA", at positions 30 to 514 of the family's 1533-position model. The record is from RNAcentral. Lineage: Bacteria; Bacillati; Cyanobacteriota; Cyanophyceae; Synechococcales; Synechococcaceae.